This 449-nucleotide ribosomal RNA is filed under the name uncultured bacterium. Its description in RNAcentral is "partial 16S ribosomal RNA". It matches the Rfam family "Bacterial small subunit ribosomal RNA", at positions 29 to 523 of the family's 1533-position model. The record is from RNAcentral.
AACGAACGCUGGCGGCAUGCCUAACACAUGCAAGUCGAACGAACCCUUCGGGGUUAGUGGCGCACGGGUGCGUAACGCGUGGGAAUCUGCCCUUGGCUUCGGAAUAACAGUUAGAAAUGACUGCUAAUACCGGAUGAUGUCUUCGGACCAAAGAUUUAUCGGCCAGGGAUGAGCCCGCGUAGGAUUAGGUAGUUGGUGGGGUAAAGGCCUACCAAGCCGACGAUCCUUAGCUGGUCUGAGAGGAUGAUCAGCCACACUGGGACUGAGACACGGCCCAGACUCCUACGGGAGGCAGCAGUGGGGAAUAUUGGACAAUGGGCGCAAGCCUGAUCCAGCAAUGCCGCGUGAGUGAUGAAGGCCCUCGGGUCGUAAAGCUCUUUUACCCGGGAUGAUAAUGACAGUACCGGGAGAAUAAGCCCCGGCUAACUCCGUGCCAGCAGCCGCCGUAA